GACAGAGGGUGCAAACGUUGUUCGGAAUUACUGGGCGUAAAGCGUGUGUAGGCGGCCACGUAAGUCGGAUGCGAAAGCCCCAGGCUCAACCUGGGAAGUGCACUCGAUACUGCGUGGCUUGAGUAUCGGAGAGGUUGGUGGAAUUCUCGGUGUAGAGGUGAAAUUCGUAGAUAUCGAGAGGAACACCGAUGGCGAAGGCAGCCCCCUGGGCUAACACUGACGCUCAGGCACGAAAGCGUGGGGAGCAAACAGG
This 253-nucleotide ribosomal RNA is filed under the name uncultured bacterium. RNAcentral's name for it is "partial 16S ribosomal RNA". It matches the Rfam family "Bacterial small subunit ribosomal RNA", at positions 524 to 776 of the family's 1533-position model. The record is from RNAcentral.